UAGUCCACGCCGUAAACGAUGGUCACUAGUUGUUGGGGCUUUAUGCCUCAGUGAUUAAGAGAAAUUGAUAAGUGACCCACCUGGGGAGUACGAUCGCAAGGUUGAAACUCAAAGGAAUUGACGGGGGCCCGCACAAGCGGUGGAGCAUGUGGUUUAAUUCGAUGAUACGCGAGGAACCUUACCAGGGCUUAAAUGUAAGUUGCAUGAUUUAGAGAUAGAUCUUUCUUCGGACUACUUACAAGGUGCUGCAUGGUUGUCGUCAGCUCGUGCCGUGAGGUGUCAGGUUAAGUCCUAUAACGAGCGCAACCCCUACCGUUAGUUGCCAGCAUGUUAUGAUGGGGACUCUAGCGGGACUGCCGGUGCAAACCGAGAGGAAGGUGGGGAUGACGUCAAAUCAUCACGGGCCCUUACGUCCUGGGGCUACACACGUGCUACAAUGGGGUGAGACAAUGAGAUGCAACUCUGCGAAGAUUAGCUAAUCUAUAAACUCGUUCUAAGUUCGGGA
RNAcentral lists this ribosomal RNA (505 nucleotides) under uncultured bacterium. Its description in RNAcentral is "bacterial SSU rRNA". It matches the Rfam family "Bacterial small subunit ribosomal RNA", at positions 791 to 1298 of the family's 1533-position model. The record is from RNAcentral.